CGUUUCAGCACUGAGUCUCUAUCACUCAGAAAAGAGAAAGGCUUGUGGUGAUAGUAUUCCCUUCAAGUCUUUCUGAAUUCUCUGCUGUAGCUAUUCUCAGACAGUGGUGUAAAGCAAAGGUGUGGGUGAACCUUUCCUGCUCUUUUUCUGACCACCACCAAUUUGGAAUUAUAUUGAAGAACUAAAUGUGUUGUAGGAGGCCGGGGGAACCACGGGGAGGGGGAGAGAGAGAAAAUAAUACUUUUCGUCAAAAGAAUUGUGAUCCAGGUGUUUUGAUCCAGUUCAACAUUAGUUUUUUUUACUUUCUGUUUUUUAAACAAGACUGAACUUAAAUCAAGCAAUCAUCUGGGAAGUAACAUACUACUGACACUAUUCAGUAUUACUGGUGAAUUCCCAACUUGUUCUCUCAAGGUGCAGGACACAGAACAGCCAGGUGGUGGAAGAGCACACAGGUCUGCUCUUCGCAGACACUGGGGUCCUUUCCCGUCCAGCCAAGCACAUUGCUAUGCAGCACCUCAUGUCCAGCUGCCCAGCCCUUCCUAACAGCUUCAAGAUUGACUCUCCCUGUGCUGCUCUUCCAACAGAACAACCAAUUCAACUCUCUGAUGCUGUAAGCAGGAGUAUAUCAAAAUAAAUCCAGAGAAAGUCACCAUCUAGGAAGAGAAUUCUGCAGAACGGGAGUCUCUUUUUUUAGAAAAUGAAACAAUAAAAUCAGUAAAAUUG
Long non-coding RNA from Cygnus olor (mute swan), 723 nucleotides. RefSeq lists it as uncharacterized. NCBI's taxonomy places the organism in Eukaryota, Metazoa, Chordata, Aves, Anseriformes, Anatidae. The record is from RefSeq and is a predicted model, not a curated record. The transcript has 3 exons.